CUUCUAAAUUGUAACCCUGAUUCUCAUUUAUAUAUCGAACUGAAAUAGCACACAGAAACCAAUUAAUUAUCUUGAAAAAGCUAAAAGAUACAGAUAUACAUAUAAAAAUUUACCUUGAACAAGACAGAAGAUUCGUUGGAAGAUCAAAUUUGAUAGCUUUUGAUUUGAAUUCUAGAUAGUCAUAUAUUACCUGUCAAAAGAAAUUUUCAAAGUAGACGCGGUUAAGAAAGCCCUGGACAGAGAAAACAAAAAAGAUAUACAGUGUGUAUAUGUUAUAGAGAGAGAGAGGAGAGAGAGAGAGAGAGAUUUUGCUGGCAGAAGCUGCAAUGGAGACAGGAAUAGCCUGCUAAUCGACUAGACUGAAAUAACGGAGAAGUUCGUCGACAAUACAACAAAAUGUAGGAAUCGGGGAGAAGAAGCCAGAUAGGGACGACGUCGUAUAUGUUUUGGGGUUAGGAAAGAUCCUAGUCCUAUAAAGGGAAUUGCGGAUCUUAAUCAAUGGGUGGAUUUGGAAUCACUUUCACUUGUAGGAUGUUUAAUGGCAAGCAUGAAACUUAC
Molecule: long non-coding RNA, 558 nt
Filed under: Olea europaea (common olive)
Lineage: Eukaryota; Viridiplantae; Streptophyta; Magnoliopsida; Lamiales; Oleaceae
Description: long non-coding RNA (OEUR_LNC013007)
Source: RNAcentral